RNAcentral lists this ribosomal RNA (1306 nucleotides) under uncultured bacterium. Its description in RNAcentral is "bacterial SSU rRNA". It matches the Rfam family "Bacterial small subunit ribosomal RNA", at positions 28 to 1381 of the family's 1533-position model. The record is from RNAcentral.
AACGUACGCUGGCGGCACGCCUAACACAUGCAAGUCGAACGAAGUAGCAAUACUUAGUGGCAGACGGGUGAGUAACAUGUAGGUAUCUGCCCUUUGGCCUGGAAUAACACGAGGAAACUUGUGCUAAUACCGGAUAAGUCUUUACGGAGAAAGCUUUAUGCACCAUUGGAUGAGCCUGCACUUGAUUAGUUUGUUGGUGGGGUAAUGGCCUACCAAGACUGUGAUCAAUAGCUGAUUUGAGAGGAUGAUCAGCCACAUUGGGACUGAGACACGGCCCAAACUCCUACGGGAGGCAGCAGUGGGGAAUCUUGCACAAUGGAGGAAACUCUGAUGCAGCGAUGCCGCGUGAGUGAAGAAGGCCCUUGGGUUGUAAAGCUCUUUCGUCGGGGAAGAAAAUGACUGUACCCGAAUAAGAAGGUCCGGCUAACUUCGUGCCAGCAGCCGCGGUAAUACGAAGGGACCUAGCGUAGUUCGGAAUUACUGGGCUUAAAGAGUUCGUAGGUGGUUGAAAAAGUUAGUGGUGAAAUCCCAGAGCUUAACUCUGGAACUGCCAUUAAAACUUUUCAGCUAGAGUAUGAUAGAGGAAAGCAGAAUUUCUAGUGUAGAGGUGAAAUUCGUAGAUAUUAGAAAGAAUACCAAUUGCGAAGGCAGCUUUCUGGAUCAUUACUGACACUGAGGAACGAAAGCAUGGGUAGCGAAGAGGAUUAGAUACCCUCGUAGUCCAUGCCGUAAACGAUGUGUGUUAGACGUUGGAAAUUUAUUUUCAGUGUCGCAGGGAAACCGAUAAGCACACCGCCUGGGGAGUACAACCGCAAGGUUAAAACUCAAAUGAAUUGACGGGGACCCGCACAAGUAGUGGAGCAUGUGGUUUAAUUCGAAGAUACGCGCAGAACCUUACCAACACUUGACAUGUUCGUCGCGACUCUAAGAGAUUAGAGUUUUCGGUUCGGCCGGACGAAACACAGGUGCUGCAUGGCUGUCGUCAGCUCGUGUCGUGAGAUGUUGGGUUAAGUCCCGCAACGAGCGCAACCCUCACUUUUAGUUGCCAUCAUUAAGUUGGGCACUCUGAAAGAACUGCCAGUGAUAAGCUGGAGGAAGGUGGGGAUGACGUCAAGUCCUCAUGGCCCUUACGUGUUGGGCUACACACGUGCUACAAUGGUAUCUACAACAGGAAGCAAGACUGCGAAGUUAAGCAAAUCCCUAAAAGAUACCUCAGUUCGGAUUGCACUCUGCAACUCGAGUGCAUGAAGCUGGAAUUACUAGUAAUCGUGGAUCAGCGUGCCACGGUGAAUGCGUUCCCGGGUCU